RNAcentral lists this ribosomal RNA (329 nucleotides) under uncultured eukaryote. RNAcentral's name for it is "partial 18S ribosomal RNA". It matches the Rfam family "Eukaryotic small subunit ribosomal RNA", at positions 1470 to 1796 of the family's 1831-position model. The record is from RNAcentral.
CCCUUAGAUGUUCUGGGCCGCACGCGCGCUACACUGUUUGAUUCAGCGAGUCUUAACCUUGACCGAAAGGUUUGGGUAAUCUUCUAAAGUCAAACGUGAUGGGGAUCGAUCAUUGCAAUUAUUGAUCGUGAACGAGGAAUUCCCAGUAAAUGCAAGUCAUCAGCUUGCGUUGAUUACGUCCCUGCCCUUUGUACACACCGCCCGUCGCUACUACCGAUUGAAUGGUUUAGUGAGAUCUCCGGAUUGGCUCUGUAGGUCCCGCAAGGGAUUUAUUAGUAGCCAAGAAGCUGCUCAAACUUGAUCAUUUAGAGGAAGUAAAAGUCGUAACA